AGUUCGGCUAAUAGUCAGUUUUGCUCUUUUGUGUCGGCUUUUGCCGACUGAUCCUCGGAUCUCCCUCUUCCGAGCUUUCUUCGUCCUCCGACCCCACCCUAAAGCCCGAGGGUGGUGGUACUUCAAUCCUCGGAAGGGGCUCUCUUUCAUUACUGGUCUUCCGUCGUCUAUUCAUGGAUGGAAGAACCAGUUCUUCUUCGCAUCCUCUUCCACUCCUUGGGGGUUCCCUGUCCGUUGGGGGAAUCCCC
This 248-nucleotide long non-coding RNA is filed under the name Elaeis guineensis (African oil palm). RNAcentral's name for it is "long non-coding RNA (EGUI_LNC018235)". Lineage: Eukaryota; Viridiplantae; Streptophyta; Magnoliopsida; Arecales; Arecaceae. The record is from RNAcentral.